Molecule: long non-coding RNA, 739 nt
Organism: Aedes albopictus (Asian tiger mosquito)
Lineage: Eukaryota; Metazoa; Arthropoda; Insecta; Diptera; Culicidae
Exons: 2
Source: RefSeq, a predicted model, not a curated record
GGUUGUGUGGUACCUUGUGGUAUGCACAUAAUAAAUUAUUGUAUUACUCUAUUACGUUUAGCGUGUAUGUUUACAUUGAGUAUCUGUCAUAUGUGGAGAUGUUGUUAUUGUUGUCUAGAGUGUGAAUCAUUGUAUGUUAUAUUAAAGUAUCGGUAAUAAAGUGUAUACAAAUAAUGAAUACAGUUGUUGAAUAAUCAUUACAGAGAAAGAUUCUCACAUUGGCGACGAGAACGGUGAACAGUGCAUGUGAAAUUAGUUUAAUUUCGGUUCGGGAAGUGUUGUCUGGAAAAAGAAAGAGAUGAGUGGUGUGUGUGUGUGGUGCAUGCAGAGUGGUGAUGACCUCCAGGUGAUGACUUGUGAUUGAAUUUCAACAUUGGAAUCAAAAAGGUACAACCACAAGUAACGGCCAAGUAAUUUACCAAAAUGCCGAGCAGAGAUGGAUGACCAAAUGGAUGACUGUACUUCUAAUUUUGAUGUGAGACUGAAGCGAGACGUUUAUAAACUGAGGAGACUAUAAGCGAAACAACGUGGAGUGACCUUGCUGCGGAUCUGGAGAAAAAACGAGAUGUGGUACCUUGUGGUAUGCACAUAAUAAAUUAUUGUAUUACUCUAUUACGUUUAGCGUGUAUGUUUACAUUGAGUAUCUGUCAUAUGUGGAGAUGUUGUUAUUGUUGUCUAGAGUGUGAAUCAUUGUAUGUUAUAUUAAAGUAUCGGUAAUAAAGUGUAUACAAAUAAUGAA